CUAGCCCUAAACGAUGUAGACUAGGCGUUGGUGGCUUAAUCGCCAUCAGUGUCCAAGCUAACGCGAUAAGUCUACCGCCUGGGGACUACGGCCGCAAGGUUAAAACUCAAAGGAAUUGACGGGUCCCCGCACAAGCAGCGGAGCGUGUGGUUUAAUUCGUUGCUACACGAAGAACCUUACCUGGGUUUGACAUAGCAGUGGUAGGGAAGAGAAAUCGGACCGACCCUUCGGGGAGCUGUUACAGGUGU
RNAcentral lists this ribosomal RNA (248 nucleotides) under uncultured Anaerolineaceae bacterium. RNAcentral describes it as "partial 16S ribosomal RNA". It matches the Rfam family "Bacterial small subunit ribosomal RNA", at positions 796 to 1041 of the family's 1533-position model. Lineage: Bacteria; Bacillati; Chloroflexota; Anaerolineae; Anaerolineales; Anaerolineaceae. The record is from RNAcentral.